Molecule: ribosomal RNA, 822 nt
Filed under: uncultured delta proteobacterium
Lineage: Bacteria; Deltaproteobacteria
Description: bacterial SSU rRNA
Rfam family: Bacterial small subunit ribosomal RNA
Source: RNAcentral
CUGGCGGCAUGCUUAACACAUGCAAGUCGAACGAGAAAGCUUCUUCGGAAGUGAUUAAAGUGGCGCACGGGUGAGUAACGCGUAGACAAUCUGCCCUUCAGUCCGGGACAACUUUUCGAAAGGGGAGCUAAUACCGGAUAACAAUGUUUAACAUAAGUUGAAUAUUUGAAAGCUCCGGCGCUGAUGGAUGAGUCUGCGUCCCAUUAGCUUGUUGGUGCGGUAGCGGCGCACCAAGGCCGCGAUGGGUAGCGGGUUUGAGAGGACGAUCCGCCACACUGGAACUGAGACACGGUCCAGACUCCUACGGGAGGCAGCAGUGGGGAAUAUUGCACAAUGGAGGAAACUCUGAUGCAGCAAUGCCGCGUGAGUGAAGAAGGCCCUUGGGUCGUAAAGCUCUUUUAUGGGGGAAGAUGAUGACGGUACCCCAGGAAUAAGCACCGGCUAACUACGUGCCAGCAGCCGCGGUAAUACGUAGGGUGCGAGCGUUGUUCGGAAUUACUGGGCGUAAAGGGCGCGCAGGCGGAGGUGCAAGUCGGAGGUGAAAGCCCGGGGCUCAACCCCGGAGGGUCUUUCGAAACUACAUCUCUAGAGAGGGUCAGGGGCCGGCAGAAUUCCUGGUGUAGAGGUGAAAUUCGUAGAUAUCAGGAGGAAUACCGGUGGCGAAAGCGGCCGGCUGGGGCCACUCUGACGCUGAGGCGCGAAAGCGUGGGGAGCAAACAGGAUUAGAUACCCUGGUAGUCCACGCCGUAAACGAUGAGCACUGGACGUUCGGAGGGUUCGACCCUUCUGGGUGUUUCAGCUAACGCAUUAAGUGCUCCGCCU